This 394-nucleotide ribosomal RNA is filed under the name uncultured Lactobacillus sp. RNAcentral describes it as "bacterial SSU rRNA". It matches the Rfam family "Bacterial small subunit ribosomal RNA", at positions 68 to 446 of the family's 1533-position model. The record is from RNAcentral. Lineage: Bacteria; Bacillati; Bacillota; Bacilli; Lactobacillales; Lactobacillaceae.
AACAGAUUUACUUCGGUAAUGACGUUAGGAAAGCGAGCGGCGGAUGGGUGAGUAACACGUGGGGAACCUGCCCCAUAGUCUGGGAUACCACUUGGAAACAGGUGCUAAUACCGGAUAAGAAAGCAGAUCGCAUGAUCAGCUUUUAAAAGGCGGCGUAAGCUGUCGCUAUGGGAUGGCCCCGCGGGGCAUUAGCUAGUUGGUAAGGGAAAGGCUUACCAAGGCGAUGAUGCAUAGCCGAGUUGAGAGACUGAUCGGCCACAUUGGGACUGAGACACGGCCCAAACUUCUACGGGAGGCAGCAGUAGGGAAUCUUCCACAAUGGACGCAAGUCUGAUGGAGCAACGCCGCGUGAGUGAGGAAGGUUUUCGGAUCGUAAAGCUCUGUUGUUGGUGAA